CGAUUGUUUUUACCUUUUGACAUAACAUAUAAAUGAAUUUCGUGUGUGUUCAAUGGCAUUUUGUCUUGUAAGAACAACUUGAACGAACUAGAAAUGUGUUUGUAGUAUUUACGUAUAAUGAAAGAAUUUGUCAGUUGACGAAACCAAUAACAAAAGUAAGAAGAUGAUAGCGGUAAUGACAAAAACAGGCGCGUUUCACAUGAUUUAUAAUGGUAA
This 216-nucleotide long non-coding RNA is filed under the name Mytilus galloprovincialis (Mediterranean mussel). The record is from RNAcentral. Lineage: Eukaryota; Metazoa; Mollusca; Bivalvia; Mytilida; Mytilidae.